This 1355-nucleotide long non-coding RNA is filed under the name Betta splendens (Siamese fighting fish). Its description in RNAcentral is "lncRNA (ENSBSLG00000011005.1)". The record is from RNAcentral. Lineage: Eukaryota; Metazoa; Chordata; Actinopteri; Anabantiformes; Osphronemidae.
UCUUAUUCUCCCAUACAUCAGACACAUCACCCAUCGUGGCCGUGCUCUUACAUUCGAGCAGGAUCUUUGUGUUGCGUUACGUUUUUUUUUUUUACAAACGGUAGUUUUCUUUUUAACGUUGGAGAUGCUGAGCAUGUUAGUAAAGCGACUGUAUAUAGAAUAGUUCGACCUCAAGCGAUUUCCUUGCCACAAAAUCCUCAGAGCCAUCUAAGAGAAGUUUCACAGGAUUGCAGAUCCUGUUUCCGUUCCUGUCGCCACUUCGGCGGUUCACGUCUCAGUUCCUGCCGCCGCUCCGGCGCCUCCAACCCAAGCUCCAAACGCCGCCCCCUCUGUUCGCCACUCGGACCCAGCUACAGAGACCCAGCCCCCGCCGCUCUCAGCGCCUCCGACGACGGUCAGCCGCAGGCGCUCUGGACGACGUCGGCGAGGGCGCGGUUCCAGAGUCCUGGGCUCCGAGACCUCGGUCGUGGUGACCGAGCAGCUCCCUUCUCCGGCAGGGGACUCCCGUGGUUCCCCCACUGACUGUGUCACGCCUAUAGCAGUCUGCCCCUGGACCUGAUUCAGCCUGCUCCGUCUGUACCGAUAUCUGUGACCUAUUGUGUAUGACCCGGACUGUCUGUUAUAUCGAGAACUGGAUUAAACCUUUAAAUUCUACUAUCUGUCUGAGAUCUCUGUGCUGUGCACGUGGGUCCUUUCUUUGCCGUUCCGUGACACAUACUGUAACUGACGUAUCAUUGUUUACACCACCAAGAUCACAUGUGAUGCUGUACAUAUUAUAACAAACGUGAAGGCCAAGUGGCCCAGCUCUGGUCAUGACUCAUGAAUAUAUUGUGAGUCAACCCUAAGUAACAGGCUGCACUGUGGUAAGUACAUGUAUGCCCUAUACACUUAUUUCAAUGCAUGCACUACACACUCACGGGAGCACUUCUAUGCAGCACUAAUGUAAUGUGAACUUUCUUCUAGGAGAGAUUGACGGCUUUCUGCUGGAGAUAGGGGUUACCGAUGCCAACCCACACUACUGACCACUUACCCAGAACCUGAAGCAGGCCCCCAGCAGCGUUUUAAUGUGGCACUGCAGAACAAGAGCCCGGGUGGAAAUGACCAUAGGCCGAUUGAAAGCACGUCACCUCAGGGUAAGACCUGAGAGGCAUGUGACAUUAAUGUGGCAUGUGUUGUUCUCCACAAUAUUGCAAUUAUUAGAGGGGAGCAACACCCUGCCCUACAAAUAUAAGACCCUGAGGAAGACUCCUUCCAUCAUGGUAAUCUGCAGGGUGGAUGGACAGUCAGAGAUGUGAUUUGCCGUAAUGUCUCAAUCAACCAUCACCACCACCAAUAAAAGAAACUGAAUAAAUGCA